RNAcentral lists this unclassified non-coding RNA (304 nucleotides) under fungal sp. RNAcentral describes it as "partial internal transcribed spacer region". The stretch from base 1 to 45 matches the Rfam family "Eukaryotic small subunit ribosomal RNA", at positions 1787 to 1831 of the family's 1831-position model. Lineage: Eukaryota; Fungi. The record is from RNAcentral.
AGUCGUAACAAGGUAUCCGUAGGUGAACCUGCGGAUGGAUCAUUAACAAAGGUGUUUUUGAAGUUGUGUGAACAGUUGGAGGAGGUGGUGGUGGUGGUGGUACUGGGUGGUAUUGGGUGGUAUUGGGUGGUAUUGAGUGGUGUAACCUUGGUCUAACCUUGGUCAACCUCACUCAACCUCACUCAACCUCACUCUCCCAACCUCACUCUCCAAACCUCCACCACUCCGUCCCUAUAAUGUAUACAAACUGAUGUCUGCUAGUUUCAAACUAAAACAACUUUUAGCAACGGAUCUCUUGGCUCUC